Molecule: long non-coding RNA, 5209 nt
Filed under: Solanum lycopersicum (tomato)
Lineage: Eukaryota; Viridiplantae; Streptophyta; Magnoliopsida; Solanales; Solanaceae
Description: partial TCONS_00149010
Source: RNAcentral
AAAAGGAGAAAAAAAAACACAAACACAAAGAAAGAAAGAAACAGUACAUCACUACUACUAUAUUGUUUGUUACACCACAUUACUUUCUUGUCUCUGUUUUUUUCUCUCAAAGCUUGUAACUUUUGUUCAUGGGUAUUUUUCUUUACUUUCAGUGAUUCAAUACCCAAUAUUUUCUUUAGGGUUUUAGUUUCUUUUUCUAUAAACCCAUUGUUUCAAUUAAAAUGGAGACUAGUGACCAGAGGUCUUUAGCUGAAGAGGAUGGAAAAAACUGUACAAACAAUCUUAAUUCCAGAGUUGAUCCUCCUCCUCUUCUUGUUGAAAAGGUAGCUUUUUUAAUGAUUUCUUGUGAUAUUCUGCUUGAGAACUAAUUUGGGGUGUUGUAUAUGUGUUUUGUUUCUGCUAAUUGUUUCUGAUUUUACCCAUUUUUCAAUUUGAGCUAAAAAAAAAUUGAUCUUGGAUUGGUUUUUUCUGUCAAAUUCUCAGCUUUUCCACAUUUUCUCAAUUUUUGCUAUGGCUUUUCUUUACUCUUGAUUUCUUGGGUUUGUGGAGGAUAUGACCUUAUAUAGGAGGUUGUGGAGGUUAGUAGGUUUGGAGUUUUGUUUGUUGUGGUAUUAGCCUUAUACUUGUAGUGAAUUGCUUUUGAUUUCUAUUAUUGUUUAUUGUGUUUUGUUUAUUGAAACAAUUUUGUUGUUGUUAGUGUUUUCUUAUUAGUUGUCAUGUUUAUUUUACUCUCUUUUUUUCUUAUCAUGCCUACUUUGAUGUGUUGUAUUCGAGCUGAGGGUGCUCGUGAAAUAGCCUCUCUACCCUCACGAUAUAGGGGUCAGGUUGGUGAAUCAAGUGAAAUUGUAGAGGAACUACAACUCUGCGAACUGCAGACGAAACAACUACCUCUGGAAGUACCUGAAAGAACCAUUGAUGGACAAACAGAAGAUUUUGUUAGGAUAGACAUGUCCACAUCACCAGUUCAAACUCCCAAGAGAGUGAUUUUCUCGCCAUCGCCCAGUCCUAACCAUGUCAGACUAAACGAAUCUCCUAGUCCCUCAUUACCGUGGGCAAAAUCAUCCAUUAAAUCUCUCCUCCCUAAAAUAAGUUUCAAAUUACGAAAUAAGACGAGUGAUAUUGAAAAAGCUGCAAUGUUAGCUCUUGGAGUCUCUCCUUUGCCUCAGGACAAACCUUCAAUUUUGAGGACUCUAUCCAUUAAAAGAAUUUUCAAUUCAAAGAUGAACAGAACUUCAUCAUUGCCUAUAACUCCAAUUGAACACUCUAAUCCAGAAUCAACGCAUGGUGACUACAGAGAUGCUACAUUUUAUUCAGUUGUAAGUAUUUAUAUUUGCUCGUGUCGUUAAUGCUGUGAUUGAAUUCACUAUCUUCUUCUUCCGAACUGUAAAAUUCUCAGUGAGGUUAUGCUCCAUUGAGUAAUAAAUGGUAAAAAAGCACAGCCAAGGGUGUGGUCAAGGACUGGAAUAUAUAACUCCAGUUGAACACUCUAGUCGAGGUGCAUGCACCACGGUUAUUAAAAAAAUGGUAAAAAAGCUGCAAAUUUGGGUAACUCACAAAGGAAAAAAAACUCAAGCUAUGUAAACAUCUGUUUACAUCUUUAAGCGUUUGAAUACACAAGUAUGGAAGUGGAAAGACCAAAUGAAAAAUGAGUGUAGUUAAAACAUAAGCAUGAUUAUUCUUCCCCAACUAGAUUUUAAUAGGUGUUAUGCUCGGACUCUUCACUUUUGGUGUUGCAUCCGAGUCAACAUGAUGUGGGUGUGACUGUGAGAUUCGUACCCGUUUUGGGUAUUUUGACCGAAUUUGAUGGAGAAAUUUUGGACAGAUUCAAUGAUUUCUGUGCACAAAACAAAAACUGAUAUGAAAUUGAAGAAAAUGGAAUACCUUGUGUAUAUAAAUUUCUAUUGUCACUCCCUUUCCUUUAAUCUCCUUCCGGAUUCUCCUUUUGAUCAAGAUUUUCUCGUCAAGUUUUACAUGUAAUAUCUCAUAAUUUAGGCUUUAUAACUCUAUUUUUAGUUACUGUAUGAUUUUUAGCUGAAUCCCCCGCACCUGUAGAUCCGUAUCCCUAAAUCUAAAAAUUUAGAUCUUAGAGGAUCCGACCUCUAGAUCUGCACCCGUAUCGGACACCCGCACCCGAGUCCGAGCAACUUAGGGUGUUAAUGCAUUUACCUGGAUGUUAUAUCUGAAUGUAUGUAGAGAUCCAGGAUACUUUUACUGGUUUGUUGCUAUGAAUAUAAAUGUCUUCGUAAUUUCACUUAAUGUUCAGUAUUUCCUUUUCUCUUGUUGUUUCUAAAUCUUACAAACUCACCGCCUUCUAGAAAGCAGGAGUGCAUCCCAUACUUCGCUCACAUUCAGUGCCAACACUGAUCAAAGAUGAAAGCCUAAAACAGAUGGAUUGCGUAGGGAAUGUCUAUCGUGUAGUCCCCUCAACUCCUCUCGUGCCAAGACAUGAUGAUACAUCAUCAAAUGCAACUCAAACUAUUGGCGCAGGUAAUUUGUUUAUGUCUAAUCAUGUUUGAUGCAUUGUCACAUGAUAAAGGCUUUUGUUCUGCAACUGGUGAUUCUUUGUUAGAUAAGUCUUGAAUGCUUCGUUAAGUCUGAAUUUACAUACCGAGUAAGAAGCAGUUGCUUGGAUACAUGUGUGACUUACUUUUAGGAAGCCAAACAAAUAAAGAAUUUUCAACCUAGGAUUUCACAAUACACUCUCCGUCCCUAUGAUGUAGUUUGACUAGGCACAAUGUUUAAGUAAUAUGAGAAGACUUUGCUAUGUUCCAAAAAUUUCCUUAAAAGAAAUAAAUUCUUGAAUAGAGGAGUACACCUUUUUGUGGACUUUUUGCCAAAUAAGUGGCAUCCAACAUGCAUAAAAUGUUGAUAGUGUUGUUAAAUUUGCCAAGUAAGGUAAACUGUCAUUCAUUUUUGAACUAACUAUUAAGGAGGGUGUGUCACAUAAAUUGACAGAGGGAGUAUAAAUUUAUAAAAAUUAGGUUGCUUAGUGGGUCAUGCUAAUUUCUGACGACCGCAACUUUUGUGGAGAAAUAUAAUUAGAAGUUGUAUUACACUCCCUCCGUUGCAAUUUGCUUGUCUUACUUUUCUUUUUAGUCCGUUUCAAAUAGAAUGUCUCUUUUCCUUUUUGGCAACUCUUAAAUAUCAAAUUUUUUACAUAUGACAUGUUUAAGACCACAACAUUAAAUGACAAUUUGGAAUAUUCUGCAUAUUUUUAGUUUAAGACCACAAGAUUAAAAAAUAUUCGUUGCUUUCUUAAACUCCGUGCCAUGUCAAGACCAUAGAAAGAAAUUGAAACAGAGGAAGUGGAAUCUGAUUUAUAUUCCAAAGAAUCAUCGCUCAGAAUCUGGUAACUAUGGGAAAUCGAUUUAAUAACCGAUAUUUGGACACAGAAUAUUCUGUUAAUCUAUUCUUAUGUAGAUACGCAUCCUGCAUUCAUGACUUGAACCUUAUGUUCACUCACCUGGGAUAACUAACCUACACCUUUCUUAGUGUUAUGGUUCAGUUGAAAAUGCUAAUUUUGGUGGAGACAUCACUCAAGAAGAGGCUGUCUGCAGAAUCUGCUUCAUCGAACUUGGGGAGGAUUCGGAAACUUUGAAGAUGGAGUGUAGCUGUAAAGGCGAACUAGCCUUAGCUCAUCAAUCAUGUGCUGUAAAAUGGUUUAGCAUAAAAGGCAACAAGAUUUGUGAUGUCUGUAAUGAAGAGGUUCGGAACUUACCUGUCACUCUUUUGCGGAUUCAAAGUACUAUUCGUAGAGGAAAUGGAUCCCCAGCUGACUCUGUCCGAUACAGGUAUGCUCAUGGCCGUUCCUUUCAUUUCUUUUUUUAAAAUAUAUAUCUUUUGAAUUAAAGUUAACUUCAUUCAGUGCCUACACCUUUCUGUUAACUUUGUUCACUACUUUGCAACAGCCACUAGGAAUUACUAUUAUAUGUCUCGAGUUUUAAUACAAUUUAAUGAUGAGCGACAUUUCUUCGUUGAAUGAACUUUAUAGUUCUCUAGUAUUUCUUAUGAGGAAAUAGCUCAAGUUUAAUCGCAUGGUGACUAUCGAACGAAGAAAUGUUCAAUUCAAAUUAUAUGGUAUUUUACUUGACGUGUGCAAACUGCUUACAGGGUUUGGCAGGACGUUCCUGUUCUUGUCCUUGUCAGCAUGCUUGCCUACUUUUGUUUUCUGGAGCAGCUUUUGGUGAGUAAAAGACUAAUGCAGUAAUGUCAUCCUACUCCAGAAAAGGAUCUUAAAUAAUGCUUGUUUAUAGGUUACCAGAAUGGGAUCCGGCGCGAUCGCUAUAUCUCUGCCCUUUUCAUGCAUCUUGGGUCUCCUUGCAUCCAUGACAGCAACAACUAUGGGUACAUGAACUAAACAAACACCCUCCGUUUCAGAAACUACUUUCGAUUUCAGUUUAACAGUGUCGGUGUUUCACUUUUUUCUUCUAUUUGCUGGUAUACAUUAUACAGUAAUAUAACAUAUAAACAAACAUGCUUUAUUUGUUUAGUGCAAAGGCGAUAUGCUUGGGUUUAUGCUGUCAGUCAGUUUGCCUUGGUGGUUCUGUUUGCUCAUGUGUUCUACUCACUGCUUCGAGUGCAGGCAGUUCUAGCUGUUCUUCUUGCCACCUUUGCGGGUUUUGGAGGUGUAAUGUGUGGGACUUCUUUUCUUCUUGAGCUUCUGAAAUGGAGGAGUAGAUGGAAUUAUUGGUCAAAUGAGCCACAUGAUUCUCAAGAAGGGGCACAGCCAAAUCAAUCAUCAGAAGUUACUCCUAUGCCUCAGGUAGAAAGUCAAACUCGUCGAGCUGAAGCUGGUACUUCUGGAGUUGUCAAUGGAAGUUGAUACAGGACAAACAUAAUCUCUUUAUAUCAAGAAACCAAAGGAAAACACUAGUUUCUGUCUCUUGUAAGCAAAAUUAUUGUAGUGUAUAGCUAGUCCUUGCAAGUCACAACUGUACAGUUUUGAGUUUAUAUCAAAGCUCUCGUUCAAACUUCAGAAUUCUAAACAUGAACACGAGACUUGAAAUGAAUUCAACUGUAGGUUGUAGGUUCAGGAAUGGCGUUGCACGCAAAAGACGAGUGGUUCAUUUUUCCAGUAGAUGGGCAGUGCAUGAAAGGAAACUGAAAUAAUGUAAAUACCAUAACGUUACAAGGAUCUCUUCUCCUGUUAUCAAAAAAUCAGAUCAUUACUCUUUUUACUUUUUUUAUUCAAUUGUUUGGUACAUCUUUA